AGGAAGAGGAGAGAGGCAAAUAGAGACAGACAGAUUGACACGCAUUCAGGCAAUGAAAGACAGACAGACAGGUUUUGUUGGCUGAACGGAUCUUCGCAGUAAAAGCGCUCGGUUUCUUAGGCAUCUACUUGCAAACUACCAGCUGAUUUGAAUUCCAGUCAAGGCCUAUGGUGCCCGCGAUAACAGCUAUCUAAGCCCAGUGGGAUGCCAAAUGUAGUUUAUCUCUCGCGAAGAUCCCGCAAGGCAAAUCAGUUAUUUGGACGGUUAAUUAGUGCCAUACACGCGAUCACGCUCACGCGCGCGCGUACACACACACACACACACACACACACACACACACACACACACACACACACACACACACACACACACACACACACACACACACACACACAUACACACGUGGUAGUGUCAUAUCAGUUGCCAAAUAGCUUAUUUGUAUUUAUUCGUCGUACCAAGGGGUGUGAAACUGCGGCCCCGCAGUCGAUACAGACUGCUGAUAGAAGAGGUUAGAAGGCUGCGAGGUCUGCGAGGGAACUCCUGCAGCAGGAGCAGCAGCGGGAGGAGAAAGAA
This 573-nucleotide long non-coding RNA is filed under the name Penaeus japonicus. RNAcentral describes it as "uncharacterized LOC122253440". Lineage: Eukaryota; Metazoa; Arthropoda; Malacostraca; Decapoda; Penaeidae. The record is from RNAcentral.